Molecule: long non-coding RNA, 3701 nt
Organism: Numida meleagris (helmeted guineafowl)
Lineage: Eukaryota; Metazoa; Chordata; Aves; Galliformes; Numididae
Source: Ensembl
CUGACUUUUAGAAAUCUUUAUACACAUCAUUUAGUGUCAUUUUCAAAUACCUUGAAGGGAUCAUAAAACUUUGCUCAUCUCUGAUCAUUGUAGCACUUAGAAGAGGAAAGGUAUGAACAGCCAUAACCCUGGCACAUUUUUAACUACACUCAGGACCAAAGGGGAUUAUAAGAUGGAAGCUUUGAUAACAAAAACAUAAAGAUGUCAUUGUCAACUAUCUCAAAAUAUACAUGCUUGUUGUAAAUGUCACAUAAGCCUACAGCUAAGGGAUGGAUCACAGUUUCCUGCAUUUUCAAAGUAUUUGUGUUGAUGAAUGCUUUAACUCCUUCAUGACCAAGUUAUUCUUUGUCCCACAACUUGCUUUCACAUUGUGAAAUUUCCGCUCUGCUCUGUACAGAGAAAAGCAAAUGCUUAGGAAGCAUUUAGGGGGUGAAAGGUGUGUAAUGUCAGUGAUCAACUUGCUAGCAAUAGGAUGAGAUCUUUCCUCUGCGUUGAAACAAUGGAAGUAGCAAUAUGUGUCAAACUAAACUGAGUACCAGAGAACUAAGGACUAACUUGUGCCCCAGUAUGGGUCAGCAAAGUAUUUACGCGUAUGAUUAAAACUAAAUGAUGGUGAACAUCUUGUUUCAGCUUGGCACACGCUACAGCACUUUGCUGAAUAAAAGGCACGUGGUACUGUUAAGAGCAUCUACACAGGGCUGAUUUUGAUCUGUUAGGCCCUGACAGGGUGACCACUCGUGUUUGCCACCAGAGUGGGAUUUGUUGCUGUCUUUGAUAACAGGGGCAGGCCCUUUCGGUGAGCUGAAGGUCUCAGAGGUGUAAAUGUGUGGGGAUUGCCAUCCCUGCUACAUGCAGUCUCUCCCCAUGUGACACUGAGGACAUGCUGCUUUUUGUUCCACAUGACUAGGAAUUCCUUGGCAGUAUGAUCUUGCCAUUGUGUGGAUGUCUUUCCCUCUUCCUGAGGCAGCGCUUGCCACCAUCAAGGUGCUUGGUGAUAUGCAGGUACCAGCCUUGCUGAGGGUACUGCUUGAGUCCGUGUUUAAUUUCAGCCACUUUGAGAGAGACAAAUAUUGCAGCAGGAGAACUGGAACAAGUGGUGUGGAACUGCUCAGGUGCAGGAACUACAGAUGAGGAGCAUGACUGCAGUAUUUUCUGACAUAAAAAUUAAUUACCUAGUUCUUUAGUAGAAUUGUCAGAAUGAGAUCUUAGAUCCUGCAAGGAGCAAAGUUUUCAUAUGCGGUAUAUUUGCAUCACAAAAAUAUGUUUCUAUGAAUAUGCCUUGUAAAACUCAUACCCAUCAUUCUUGAAUCUGAAUCCUGUUGCCUACAGAUAUUUAAAUCACUGUUUCUACUAAUAGGCUUCUAGCACAGGGUGUUAUUCUUUUUUUAGAAAGCAAUAGCAAAUAGGAAGGAAGAACUCUCAAUUUCAACCCGACUUCUGCUUCUGUGGCAUUUCUUGCUCUGCCUUUAAUCCACUGUAGUAAGUUUCUUUUUUUUCUAAGAUCUGUGCUGAUGGGAAAGUCUCUUUCCUGCCACAGCAUUACCAAGACUGUUAGAAUAUUUCAUAAAUCAUGAAGUUAAGUAGUUACACAGGAUUUACGCUGUCAAGAAUUAGGCAUGACACAGACAUGAUAUAAAUGAAAGACUUGACAGGGCACUUCCAAGCCUCCUACAUACUCUGUCAGAUUUAGGAGCACGUCUCUUCACAGUGGGCUUCCAAAAAAGAGACCAGAGAGCAGUGCCAGUAGACAGAGCAGCACAGAAAAGAUGAUUCUGUGGUGAGGAAAUAAGGAUCCUAGAAAGGCAUCAUAAAAAUGAGUGCAACCGGUGGGGUUCUCUUAUGAUAGUGAAGAAGACUAAUUAGGUGACUGCUAUCAUUUCUUCAUUUACCUUUCUUUCCUCUCUUAUGCCAAGUUUCUCAUUGCUCCAUGACUUCUCCUUUUGCCUUAAUGAUGCAUAACACAAGUAUUACUUUGUGUGGUGCCCCAGAAGAUAUAGAAAAUGUUAAUUCACUGUUGCUUUCCUUGAAUUAGCCACUGUUUAUUUGAAAUUCCUUAAUGUAAAACCUUUCCGGGAAUGCUUCACACUUUGCAGGAAUUUCCCAGCCCAGAGCUUCCUAAGAAUUCCUAGCUGUAAGUCUAUUCUUGCAUUUCACUGAUAGAGGAUCUUUGUGGGGAGCCUUGAAGAGCUUUCUGGAUAUUUCCCAAUGGUUUUCCAAGAACUGCUGGAUCGAGUAUCCUGUACUGUUUACCAAGAACCACUGCUAUGAUAUUUAAAACCCCAGGAAGACUCUAGAACUUUCUUGAUCCUUGGUAUUUAGAUUCCUUGGUAUGAUUACCUAUAACCUGUCCCACGUCACCUAUGUUUAUCUCACCUCCUAAAAAUGGAAUAUGAUGUAAUGACUGGUUUUUGAAAAAAAAAGUCCCAUAAAGUACAAGGAUGAGUCUUUUACUGGUUUAAGGGAGACAUUAUUAAAAGAGAGAAAUGGGCUUUUUUCUUUAGUUGACAAGUUACUAAAACAAAGGAGAGCAAAAGCAGAGAAUACAGCCAGAAAGGAGAAUCAAAACAGUUCAAAACUAUGAGUUGUCACAGGAGUUGAGUUAAUAACUUCUCCACUCACCAUACAGUGAGUGUGGAGUUGCUGUUGAUAAAUCAACUACUGAGAACAGGUCUGUAGUCAGAGCAGAACCACAAACACAUCUGAAAGGAUGAAAACAGCAGAAGUUCAAAACACAUAGGCCUUCAUUCCCUUGUCACUUGGUAUGUGACUUGAAUUUAGCUCUUACUCUUCACCCCUAAUGUUCUCAUAUUUUAUUGAAGAGGCAAUGCUCCACAAAGACUGAGUGUAGUAUCAAGCAAUAGAAAUAACACACAAAAGCACAGGAGAGGACUGAGAUAUAUAGACAGAAUUGAAGAUAAAACACAGCCAUGCUGAAGUCACUGUAUUAAAAAAAUAAGUGGGCCUGAUUUUCUUCUGCAUCAGAGCUUACUUAUGCCACUUUGUUAGAAUAAUGGGGCCAUGAAAUGUACAUAACUGUAAUUACUCCUCCAAAAGUCCCUUAAGUUGACAGACUGGUAUAAAUGGAACAUUGUAUAAGUGAGAAUUGAGUUCAGUGGGGAGUAGAUUACAUGUUCCUCUGAAUUCCAAAUAUAUUCUAAAAUUUUAAGUAGAAAAAUGGUAGGGAUAUCUCCCUCUAUACAAGAAUCUGUGUUUGUGUCGACGUUGUGUUUAUAGGAGAAUUUCACUGGGCUUCACUGUGCAACUUGGCUUAUCAUACAGGUAUGCUCUCCUAUGCUAAGGCAGCAAAAAGCUUUGCAAAAACAUGCUAUUAGCAUCUUAGAGCAACUUUGUUCAGCUGUGACUGCAAAAAAAAAAAAGACUGUUAGAUAUUACAUGAGAGGAAUGCCUCAAGUCUCUGGAGAAAACUGAACAAAAAAAAAAGGGGAAGCAGUCCUAAAAGUGUUAACCCUUCUUUUCUUGCAAAGGCUCUUUGGCUACCAUUCCAGCUGAUUCAUCUGACCGUCCUACUGAGACCAAAGAGUGCCUUAAUGGGGAGAUCUCCCUUUCUACCAUUCCUUUCGAGGCUGAAAAAUGAGCCAUCAGUGGCAGCACUUUUUAGGAUAUCAGAAGUAUCAAAUAGUGUGUAGAGUAUUCUCUAAUUACAUAAUAAAUAGAUAACCAGCCUAUGAAGAUGCUUUUGA